AUGGCUCUGCACGACAACUUCUGGACUUCCCAGGUGGACAUUCUUCGGGGCCUCACCGUCGAACACCUCUCUGAGAUUGACACUCUUUGGGAGAAGGUCUCCCAUAUCCACCUCGACAUCGACACGCCCGACACUAUCACUUGGAAGUUCCCCACUGAUGGACACUACUCGGCGACGUCGGCCUACAAGGCGCAGUUCUUUGGCCAUACUGACACGGCCAUGAUACCAACCGUUUGGAAGGUUUGGGCGCUUCCUAAAUGCAAAUUCUUCGCUUGGUUGGCAAUCAACAACAGGAUUUGGACGGCGGACAGGCUUGAGCGUCGUGGGUGUCCAAACUGUAACCUUUGUCCCCUAUGUAAGCAGGUGCAGGAGUCGGCGGCCCACCUUCUAUUCCAAUGCGGACACACUAUCAGAGUUUGGUGCAUGAUCAAAGAUUGGUUGGGUCUCCAUGAUGUGCAUCCUUCUGAUUGGAUUGACGCGACUUCCAUUAAAGAGUGGUGGAGCCACAAUGCUACCAAGAAGACCCAAUCGCGAAGGCCACUUGCUUCCUUGAUGCUUCUUAUCUCUUGGGAGUUGUGGAAUGAGAGGAAUGCACGGAUCUUUCGUAAUAAUGCCGUCCCAGUUGGAGUCAUCGUCGCUAGGAUUAAAGAGGAAAUGUCGCUUUGA
Molecule: ribosomal RNA, 666 nt
Filed under: Triticum aestivum (bread wheat)
Lineage: Eukaryota; Viridiplantae; Streptophyta; Magnoliopsida; Poales; Poaceae
Description: partial small subunit ribosomal RNA
Source: RNAcentral